Molecule: ribosomal RNA, 423 nt
Filed under: uncultured soil bacterium
Lineage: Bacteria
Description: bacterial SSU rRNA
Rfam family: Bacterial small subunit ribosomal RNA
Source: RNAcentral
AGAAUGAACGUUGGCGGCGUGGAUUAGGCAUGCAAGUCGCGCGCGAAACGUAGCAAUACGUGGAGAGCGGCGUAAGGGAGAGUAAUGCAUGGUUAGCUACCCCCGGGACUGGGAUAGCGGCGGGAAACUGCCGGUAAUACCAGAUGACAUCUUCGGAUCAAAGGUGUGAAUCCGCCCGGGAGCGACCAUGUCCUAUCAGCUUGUGGCGGGUAACGCCACAAGGCAAAGACGGGUAUGGGCGUGAGAGCGUGCCCCCACUCACUGGGACUGAGACACUGCCCAGACACCUACGGGUGGCUGCAGUCGAGAAUCUUACGGCAAUGGGCGCAAGCCUGACCGAGCGACGCCGCGUGCGGAUGAAGGCCUUGGUGUAACCGCUGUACGUAGGGAGGAAGGCUCCGUGAAGAACGGAGUUUGACCGUA